Long non-coding RNA from Cimex lectularius (bed bug), 432 nucleotides. RefSeq lists it as uncharacterized. The transcript is spliced from 2 exons. The record is from RefSeq and is a predicted model, not a curated record. Lineage: Eukaryota; Metazoa; Arthropoda; Insecta; Hemiptera; Cimicidae.
AAUUAACCGGUUUUGUUUUCUGUGAUGAAACAAUAAUUUGAAUAAAAAAUUAAUAAUUUGUUUAAAGCAUGGUUUUAACCCGUAUAUGCCCAGUGUUGCAAAAAUGCAACGUACCAUUUUUUAAAAUAGAAUUUUCUUGUUCUUUCCAUUAAAUGUUAUUUCGGGUUCUAUUUUUAGCUUUACCCUUAGGGCGGGAUGUACUCAAACAAAAUAUGACUCAUUUGCUUUUCGGUUUUAUUGACAACCUUCAUUUGUGUUGUACAUUCCAAAUUGAACGUUCUUGAAGGAGAAAUAUCUCAAGAAAACUCAAUAAUUGGCAUCCGGGUCGGCUGCCAUAUCAGGUUGGCCGUGUCGGGGAAGGAAAACGUCAGUGCACCCGCGGGAAUGAUGUCAACAGUAAGCAGAAAAGAAACCCCGUAGGAGGGGAGAGAA